This 76-nucleotide transfer RNA is filed under the name Sulfurisphaera ohwakuensis. Its description in RNAcentral is "tRNA-Pro". It matches the Rfam family "tRNA". From Rfam's summary of the family: Transfer RNA (tRNA) molecules are approximately 80 nucleotides in length. Their secondary structure includes four short double-helical elements and three loops (D, anti-codon, and T loops). The record is from RNAcentral. Lineage: Archaea; Thermoproteati; Thermoproteota; Thermoprotei; Sulfolobales; Sulfolobaceae. RNAcentral also lists the same sequence under 2 other names.
GGGCCCGUGGUCUAGCCUGGACUAGGACGCAGCGCUCGGGCCGCUGUGGUCCCGGGUUCAAAUCCCGGCGGGCCCA